AGGAUGAACGCUGGCGGCGUGCCUAACACAUGCAAGUCGAACGUCCUGUCUCGCAAGAGGCAGGGAGUGGCGGACGGGUGAGUACCACGUGGGUCAUCUACCGUGAGGUGAGGAAUACCGGCGAGAAAUCGCCGACAAGACCGCAUAGCCUCGGUGCAAGUCGAGGAAAGCUCUCUCGAGAGAGGGAGCGCCACACGAGGAGCCUGCGCCCGAUUAGCUAGCUGGUGGGGUAAAGGCCUACCAAGGCGACGACGGGUAGCCGGCCUGAGAGGGCGACCGGCCACACUGGGACUGAGACACGGCCCAGACUCCUACGGGAGGCAGCAGUGGGGAAUCUUGCGCAAUGGGCGAAAGCCUGACGCAGCGACGCCGCGUGGGGAUGAAGGCCUUCGGGUUGUAAACCCCUUUCAGCAGGGACGAAGCGAAAGUGACGGUACCUGCAGAAGAAGCGCCGGCUAACUACGUGCCAGCAGCCGC
This 477-nucleotide ribosomal RNA is filed under the name uncultured bacterium. RNAcentral describes it as "SSU rRNA". It matches the Rfam family "Bacterial small subunit ribosomal RNA", at positions 26 to 518 of the family's 1533-position model. The record is from RNAcentral.